This 467-nucleotide unclassified non-coding RNA is filed under the name Hevea brasiliensis (rubber tree). Lineage: Eukaryota; Viridiplantae; Streptophyta; Magnoliopsida; Malpighiales; Euphorbiaceae. The record is from RNAcentral.
AAGCUUUUUCUUUAGUAAAAAGAUGACCAAAUGCCAUUAACAAUAGUUGGCCCACGCCAAUAGCAUACACCAUUCUGGGGAUGUAACUUCUUCCAACUCCUUGAAGCAACAAAGGCAGACUUGAUAUGUUACUUUCAGAUCCCCAGUGCACUGAUAUGAGUAUAUAACUUGAAAUAGUUCCCAUGAUAACAUAUUUCCAAAUUCCCUGACAAUAGGUACCAGAAAUGGUUCUGUACAGUAAACAUGCUAAUAAGAUUAGAGCUAGAAUUGGCCCAAUUUCAGACAUGUAAGUCCACAUUGGAUGGUCUGGGGCAAUCCCAAGCAUCCAUGAGGGAGAUACAUUCAAAAAUAAGGAAGUGGCAGCCUGCUUUGACAACCCUACUUCAAUGGUGAAUCGGAGAACAGAGACUAACAGAAGAAAUAAAACUGCUUCAAAUAGCAUCCUCUUUUUCACAAUUGAACAUCGU